Felis catus (domestic cat) is the source of this 85-nucleotide transfer RNA. It matches the Rfam family "tRNA". Rfam says of the family: Transfer RNA (tRNA) molecules are approximately 80 nucleotides in length. Their secondary structure includes four short double-helical elements and three loops (D, anti-codon, and T loops). NCBI's taxonomy places the organism in Eukaryota, Metazoa, Chordata, Mammalia, Carnivora, Felidae. The record is from Rfam.
GCCUGGGUGGCUUAGGUGGUUAAGCAUCUGACUUUGGCUCAGGUCAUGAUCUCACAGUUUGUGAGUUCGAGCCCCGCAUUGGGCU